GACGAACGCUGGCGGCGUGCUUAACACAUGCAAGUCGAACGGAAAGGCCCUGCUUUUGUGGGGUGUUCGAGUGGCGAACGGGUGAGUAACACGUGAGUAACCUGCCCUUGACUUUGGGAUAACUUCAGGAAACUGGGGCUAAUACCGGAUAGGAGCUCCUGCUGCAUGGUGGGGGUUGGAAAGUUUCGGCGGUUGGGGAUGGGCUCGCGGCUUAUCAGCUUGUUGGUGGGGUAGUGGCUUACCAAGGCUUUGACGGGUAGCCGGCCUGAGAGGGUGACCGGCCACAUUGGGACUGAGAUACGGCCCAGACUCCUACGGGAGGCAGCAGUGGGGAAUAUUGCACAAUGGGCGGAAGCCUGAUGCAGCAACGCCGCGUGCGGGAUGACGGCCUUCGGGUUGUAAACCGCUUUCGCCUGUGACGAAGCGUGAGUGACGGUAAUGGGUAAAGAAGCACCGGCUAACUACGUG
RNAcentral lists this ribosomal RNA (468 nucleotides) under uncultured bacterium. Its description in RNAcentral is "partial 16S ribosomal RNA". It matches the Rfam family "Bacterial small subunit ribosomal RNA", at positions 28 to 507 of the family's 1533-position model. The record is from RNAcentral.